Erinaceus europaeus (western European hedgehog) is the source of this 199-nucleotide long non-coding RNA. RefSeq lists it as uncharacterized. The transcript has 3 exons. The record is from RefSeq and is a predicted model, not a curated record. NCBI's taxonomy places the organism in Eukaryota, Metazoa, Chordata, Mammalia, Eulipotyphla, Erinaceidae.
GACAAGCCGAGAGAGGAGCGUGGGAGGCUGACUGCAACUAAAGGGAAGUUCAGCUCCUUGUCAGACAAGUCAGCAUUCUGGACAUGUACUUGCCUGUGUAUCUUCCUCUAAGCAGAGGGCUCGAACCGGUAUCCUUACACUGGUCCUCACACUUUGCGGCAUGUGCGCUUAACCCAGGGCACUACCACCCACCCCCCCC